RNAcentral lists this ribosomal RNA (252 nucleotides) under uncultured bacterium. RNAcentral describes it as "partial 16S ribosomal RNA". It matches the Rfam family "Bacterial small subunit ribosomal RNA", at positions 524 to 776 of the family's 1533-position model. The record is from RNAcentral.
UACGUAGGGUGCGAGCGUUGUCCGGAAUUAUUGGGCGUAAAGAGCUCGUAGGCGGUUUGUUGCGUUUAUCGUGAAAACCUGCAGCUUAACUGUGGGCUUGGGUGGAUACGGGCAGACUUGAGUUCGGUAGGGGAGACUGGAAUUCCUGGUGUAGCGGUGAAAUGCGCAGAUAUCAGGAGGAACACCGGUGGCGAAGGCGGGUCUCUGGGCCGAUACUGACGCUGAGGAGCGAAAGCGUGGGGAGCGAACAGG